Molecule: long non-coding RNA, 887 nt
Organism: Lontra canadensis (Northern American river otter)
Lineage: Eukaryota; Metazoa; Chordata; Mammalia; Carnivora; Mustelidae
Exons: 4
Source: RefSeq, a predicted model, not a curated record
UCUCCUGGGUUGGCAGCAGAUCCACUGAUGGAAAAGUGCAAACGUGUUUCAGAGACUCUAGGGGUACAUGAGCCAUUUUAUUAUUUCAGAUGACCGAAGCUGAUGGAAAAGCAUGACUAACAAAAAGGACUCUUGAGGAAGUACUCAAGUUUUUGAGGGUGCAGGGCCUCCUCCAUGGUGGGCACUGUGACUGGUGUUGGGGACAGUGUCAACAACAGUACUCACGAGGUUACUACUCUGUGGUGGAAGCAGACAGCAAGUCCCGGCCACACAAGCUGACUCUAGAAACCUAGGGCAAAUCCAAGGGAAGGAAGUACAUGGUAUGUAGUUGGGAUCUAGGUUCAAGGUAAACAGACACGGUGUCCUAAUUCAGUCUAAUGCCAGAUCUUGAAAUAUAUACAAAGGUCAAAGAUUCUGCAUCUUGAUAUGAACAUAUGAGACCUUUGUGAAUGUCCAAAGAGCUGCAAUCUCAACAGGGACAAGAGUGAGCCUGAGCAACUCCCACCCUCUGUGCUGCCUUCCUGGUCCUGCUCACCGUCUGUCUCUGAAGUGCUCCUGACCAGCAGUCCAACUCGCUCGCUUUGCAGAGAUGUCCCGAAGAAACUGAAGAGCACAUGCUAGUCAAGGCAGAGACAGGCAGCCUGCUUGUUUGGGUUUUUCCAGUCUAUUUCUAAAAUGAGCUAUUUUUCAAGUUAAACUUAUAGAUGGUCACCUGAUGCGGGAGUUAACAACUUUGUCCAAUUUGAAACUCUGGAAAUGUAACUGGGUCAGCUGCCCAAUUAUGACCCCAACAGUGAAUUUCUCAUUUGGAUAUGGAGUUUUGUAAUUUCUCUGCAGAGUCAAACAGGAAGAGAAGAUUUAAAAAUUGGCUUAGGCACUUAGAAUGA